Molecule: ribosomal RNA, 253 nt
Filed under: uncultured bacterium
Lineage: Bacteria
Description: partial 16S ribosomal RNA
Rfam family: Bacterial small subunit ribosomal RNA
Source: RNAcentral
UACAGAGGUCCCAAGCUUUGUUCGGAUUCACUGGGCGUAAAGGGUGCGUAGGUGGCGAGGUAAGUCGGAUGUGAAAGCUCGGAGCUCAACUCCGAAAUGGCAUUGGAAACUACCUUGCUCGAGGGUUGGAGGGGGGACUGGAAUUCUCGGUGUAGCAGUGAAAUGCGUAGAUAUCGAGAGGAACACCAGUGGCGAAGGCGAGUCCCUGGACAACUCCUGACACUGAGGCACGAAAGCUAGGGGAGCAAACAGG